GUCGGUGUGGCAUAGUGCUUUGAGUGCUGGACUAUGACUCUAGAGACCAAGGUUCAAUUCCCAGUUCAGCCA
This 72-nucleotide transfer RNA is filed under the name Phrynosoma platyrhinos (Desert horned lizard). RNAcentral's name for it is "tRNA-OTHER". Lineage: Eukaryota; Metazoa; Chordata; Lepidosauria; Squamata; Phrynosomatidae. The record is from RNAcentral.